CCAGCGCGUGAUGGCGGGGACUCAUAGGAGACUGCCGGGGUCAACUCGGAGGAAGGUGGGGACGACGUCAAAUCAUCAUGCCCCUUAUGUCUUGGGCUUCACGCAUGCUACAAUGGCCGGUACAAAGGGUUGCGAUACUGUGAGGUGGAGCUAAUCCCAAAAAGCCGGUCUCAGUUCGGAUUGGGGUCUGCAACUCGACCCCAUGAAGUCGGAGUCGCUAGUAAUCGCAGAUCAGCAACGCUGCGGUGAAUACGUUCCCGGGCCUUGUACACACCGCCCGUCAAGUCACGAAAGUUGGUAACACCCGAAGCCGGUGGCCUAACCCUUGUGGGGGGAGCCGUCNAAGGUGGGACCGGCGAUUGGGACUAANUCNUAACAAGGUA
Molecule: ribosomal RNA, 383 nt
Filed under: actinobacterium W-2023b
Lineage: Bacteria; Bacillati; Actinomycetota; Actinomycetes
Description: bacterial SSU rRNA
Rfam family: Bacterial small subunit ribosomal RNA
Source: RNAcentral